Molecule: ribosomal RNA, 496 nt
Filed under: Globicatella sp. 'ARUP UnID 335'
Lineage: Bacteria; Bacillati; Bacillota; Bacilli; Lactobacillales; Aerococcaceae
Description: bacterial SSU rRNA
Rfam family: Bacterial small subunit ribosomal RNA
Source: RNAcentral
GGACGAACGCUGGCGGCGUGCCUAAUACAUGCAAGUCGAACGAACCGCAACGAGAACUUGUUCUGGUUAAGGUUAGUGGCGCACGGGUGAGUAACACGUGGGGAACCUGCCCUUUAGUGGGGGAUAACAGUCGGAAACGACUGCUAAUACCGCAUAGACAAYUUAACCGCCUGGUUAARUUGGGAAAGGUGCUACGGCAUCAUUAAAGGAUGGCCCCGCGGUGCAUUAGCUAGUUGGUAAGGUAACGGCUUACCAAGGCGAUGAUGCAUAGCCGACCUGAGAGGGUGAUCGGCCACAUUGGGACUGAGACACGGCCCAAACUCCUACGGGAGGCAGCAGUAGGGAAUCUUCCGCAAUGGACGCAAGUCUGACGGAGCAACGCCGCGUGUGUGAAGAAGGUUUUCGGAUCGUAAAGCACUGUUGUUAGAGAAGAACGGCUACUAGAGGAAAUGUUAGUAGAUUGACGGUAUCUAACCAGAAAGCCACGGCUAACUAC